GAAGGCAUGGACAUGACCAAAGCCCUUAAAAGACACAAACAGGUGGGAGAGCGUGCUAGGGGUGGGCGGAGGGCUGGAGGGUACAAAAGGAGGAGGCUGGCCUUCCGAGAGCAGAGACAGAGAAGGCCAGGGCGAGCCUGCCCCCGGGAACAGGAGGAGAGGGGGCAGCGGAGGAGGUCCCACCUAGGCGGGACACAAUGAGAGGUAAAGCUAGAAAAAAGGACAGAACUAAAGGGAUGAAGGACAAAUGAGCGGAGCAGACACAAAUAGGGAUAAAAGACGGAUGGUCAGGAAGGGAUGCACCUAAAGGAAAGACAAAGAGGAUUUCUCUGUGUGUGACUAUGAGGGUAGUGAUUAAGAAGACACCAGUGAAAAGAAAGGGAAGAAACAGGAAAGGGGAACAAGUGAGGAGACAAAAAUAAGUCAUAAGUGCGCAGGACAGGCUAAAUACUCAGCAAGUCACCAGGCUGUUAGGCUGACUGGGAGAAGCACCAUAGCCAGACCCCAAAAGGAACCAUCAGAAGGACAGAGGCAGGCAAUUUUAGUAGCUAGCUCCUGAGAUAAAAAUGAGAAGAAAAAAAAAAAAUAGAAGAUGGAAAAGGUGAGAAGCAGGAGAGGGAAAACCCAGAGGAGACACUGGCCCAGAAACCUUUUUAACUUUCUGUAAGAAUCUUCAAGGCCCCAAACUAGGCCAAGAUGCUGACUGACAUUUCUGAGCUCACCAGCUGCUGUUUCCUUGAGAGAAUUCUGACAGGAAGGCAUAGAAAUGCAAGCCAACACUGCGAGCUCUGGAAAAAAAAAAAAAAUCCAUGCUCUAAACACCUCCACGGGGCCGAAGCCUGCCAGAGAAGAAGGCACACAGGGGAUGGACCCGCCGGCAACUUUUCCCCAGGCUUGGACCAGCAAUGCUCGGGACGUACCAAGAAUCCUCACCCUAGACGCUGCAGUCACCUCCCGCAGGAGCUGCCCCCUGCUCUGGCUGGUCAAACGGAACCAAGUCCGUCUUCCUGAGAGGUUUGGUCCCCUUCAACCAGCUACAGCAGGGCUGGCAAGGCCCAGUCCUUGGAGAAACAGAAGAGAUUCACCUGUGGAUGAAAUUACCUACUACCUUUUCCCUUAAGAAAAUGACUCAUUUUGUUAUCACACUCUCAUGCUCCCGGGAAGGGAGAAACGGGGAGCCCUGGGUUCAAACAUGAGCCAGAUUUCCAUGCUCUACACACAGAGCUCUGUGCCUGAACACCCACAACUAGACUCACUCACAUGCUCUUGACACACAGUAAAGAUUUUAGGAUGGACUGUGUUUCAGCCCUGGGCCAGCCAGGGGAACAGCACGAGCCCCAGAAGAUAGGGCUCCUGCUCAAAGGCGCUAAGAGUCUAAGUAAAGAAAUUGGACGUGUGAAUAUGGCACAAGUCAGGGAAUUGCAAGUCAUGGCAUGGCUCGUUCCAAGAUGUAAUUCUUUUACACAGCCCACCAAAUAUGCCUGACACACUGUAUGCUACCAAGUCAGCCCAAAGAGAGCUAUUCAAUAAGAAAUUCACAUGUAGCUCAGUUUCCCAUCUGCAGAAUAGGGGUAGUCAUAAUUAUAGCACCCACCACAUAUGGCUUUAUGUGGAAUGGAAUGAGAAUACACGGAAAGGAGUUACAAAGCUCUCAAAAAUUUUUACCUGCUAUUAAAGAGGAAAUCCUGACCUGCCUUCCAAUUUCUCUCUCAAAAUUUCUAUCUUAGACAGUGUUCCUUGGGAUGCGCCCAGGACACAGCUAGGGUUACACAUGCUGAUGGAAUUCCACAAGCCUGUGUUCACAUGCUGCCCUCUGACACAAAUGUGGUCUCAUGACGUCCGGAGACCACCAAGUCUCCACACAGGGAAGCUUAUUUGGUGCGUAUCUGCACGUGUCCAGGGGGUCAGGGAGACCUGGGUUUGAAUCCUGCACCUCUCGUUUAUUAUCUCUGAUGUAGCCUCCCUGAGCCUCAGUUAACAAUGUGUAAACCUUAGUUUCCUCGUCUGUAAAAUGGGGGCAAUACUUAAAGUUGAUUUAAGGAUUUUUAAAAGGUAAUGUUUAUCAAGAGCCACAUACAGGCCCCCAGGAAAUGGCAGCUGGUGUUGCUUGGCUGUUGUACGUACAGUUCAAAGAAAGUGUUGUGUCCACAGGCACUCGUAACUGAAAGGGAGAAACCAGAUUUUUUUAAAAAAAGAAAGAAAAACUCAAAAAAUCAAUAAAACCUCAUUACAGGGUAAUUUUAUAUUCCAGCUGUUAAUUCUACUAUCAUGUAACAUGCCUUCAUUCUGGUGUGUGUUACUAGUAUGUAAUAAGAUUUACUAAAAAGUAAAUGCUUCAUACAUGAGACUGAUCAUCUUGCCUUCAAGAAACAUCCUACCUGGAAAGCUCUCAUUUGUGAACACUGUCAAGAUGCCAGUCUGAAACCACUGAGGGUAUGAAGGCCCAUAGUGUGUGAAGUUUAGACCAUAGGCACUGAAGCCAGACUGCCUGGGCUUAGAUCCCAGCACCCUCACCCCUCUGUGCCACUUUGGGCAAAUUGUUUGACCUCUCUGGGCCUGGGUUUCCUCAUGAAGAAUGGGGAUAUUAAUGAUAAUAUCUACCUCAUGGGGUUUGCAUGAGAAUGAAAUGAAAAUACUUGUAAAGGUAUAAAACCAGUGCUGGGUGCAUAAUAAACUUUGAAGAGUCUUUAUCUUUGACAAUUACCUAAACUGUUCCUGAAACUGAGUUGGUGUUCAAUAAAAAUGUUCUUUAUCA
Hippopotamus amphibius kiboko is the source of this 2755-nucleotide long non-coding RNA. RefSeq lists it as uncharacterized. NCBI's taxonomy places the organism in Eukaryota, Metazoa, Chordata, Mammalia, Artiodactyla, Hippopotamidae. The transcript has 2 exons. The record is from RefSeq and is a predicted model, not a curated record.